UAUAUAAACUACUGAAGGACGCAUGUAGGUAUUAUUGUAUAUCAUAUAGAGCUGGUGGACGUAAAUAUAACUUGGUCAAAGAAGACAAAAUGGGAUUUGUCAAACAAGUGACUUUGAAGCUUUUAGUAGUUGCCAUCUUGGUCAUUGCUGCUGCAAUGCCGUUAAAGAAACGUGAAAGCACUAGCAUGAUGUGAGCUUCAGCAUAAACUCUUUAGCCAAUGUAAAAUAAUAAGAGAAAAAUGUUUGAUCACUUGAAUUUUUGAUCCAAUAAAUAAUUUGAUUAAUUAACUAAA
Long non-coding RNA from Chelonus insularis, 293 nucleotides. RefSeq lists it as uncharacterized. Lineage: Eukaryota; Metazoa; Arthropoda; Insecta; Hymenoptera; Braconidae. The transcript is spliced from 2 exons. The record is from RefSeq and is a predicted model, not a curated record.